This 71-nucleotide transfer RNA is filed under the name Zoogoneticus quitzeoensis (picotee splitfin). RNAcentral's name for it is "tRNA-Ala". It matches the Rfam family "tRNA". From Rfam's summary of the family: Transfer RNA (tRNA) molecules are approximately 80 nucleotides in length. Their secondary structure includes four short double-helical elements and three loops (D, anti-codon, and T loops). Further hydrogen bonds mediate the characteristic L-shaped molecular structure. tRNAs have two regions of fundamental functional importance: the anti-codon, which is responsible for specific mRNA codon recognition, and the 3' end, to which the tRNAs corresponding amino acid is attached (by aminoacyl-tRNA synthetases). tRNAs cope with the degeneracy of the genetic code in two manners: having more than one tRNA (with a specific anti-codon) for a particular amino acid; and 'wobble' base-pairing, i.e. permitting non-standard base-pairing at the 3rd anti-codon position. The record is from RNAcentral. Lineage: Eukaryota; Metazoa; Chordata; Actinopteri; Cyprinodontiformes; Goodeidae.
UGAAGGCUUUAGCUUAAUUAAAGUGUCUGUUUUGCAUACAGAAGAUGUGGGUUAGUGUCCUGUAAGUCUUA